RNAcentral lists this ribosomal RNA (41 nucleotides) under Roscoea humeana. RNAcentral describes it as "partial 18S ribosomal RNA". RNAcentral also lists the same sequence under 2 other names. Lineage: Eukaryota; Viridiplantae; Streptophyta; Magnoliopsida; Zingiberales; Zingiberaceae. The record is from RNAcentral.
CGUAACAGGGUUUCCGUAGGUGAACCUGCGGAGGGGUCAUU